Molecule: ribosomal RNA, 451 nt
Filed under: uncultured Bacteroidales bacterium
Lineage: Bacteria; Pseudomonadati; Bacteroidota; Bacteroidia; Bacteroidales
Description: bacterial SSU rRNA
Rfam family: Bacterial small subunit ribosomal RNA
Source: RNAcentral
ACGUGAGGGAAGCUUGCUUCCCUUGACGACGACUGGCGCACGGGUGAGUAACGCGUAUCCAACCUUCCCAUAACUACGGGAUAACCCGUUGAAAGACGGCCUAAUACCGUAUGAUAUCGUUUGCUGACAUCAAAUAACGAUUAAAGGUUUAGCGGUUAUGGAUGGGGAUGCGUCUGAUUAGCUUGUUGGCGGGGUAACGGCCCACCAAGGCUACGAUCAGUAGGGGUUCUGAGAGGAAGGUCCCCCACAUUGGAACUGAGACACGGUCCAAACUCCUACGGGAGGCAGCAGUGAGGAAUAUUGGUCAAUGGACGAGAGUCUGAACCAGCCAAGUAGCGUGCAGGAUGACGGCCCUAUGGGUUGUAAACUGCUUUUGUUUGGGAAUAAUCGACAUUACGUGUAAUGUUUUGCAUGUACCAUUCGAAUAAGGACCGGCUAAUUCCGUGCCAGC